RNAcentral lists this ribosomal RNA (355 nucleotides) under uncultured bacterium. RNAcentral describes it as "bacterial SSU rRNA". It matches the Rfam family "Bacterial small subunit ribosomal RNA", at positions 29 to 412 of the family's 1533-position model. The record is from RNAcentral.
AACGAACGCUGGCGGCAUGCCUAACACAUGCAAGUCGAACGAAGUCUUCGGACUUAGUGGCGCACGGGUGCGUAACGCGUGGGAAUCUGCCCUUGGGUGCGGAAUAACUUCUCGAAAGGGAUGCUAAUACCGCAUAAUGUCGUAAGACCAAAGAUUUAUCGCCCAAGGAUGAGCCCGCGUAAGAUUAGCUAGUUGGUGGGGUAAAAGCCUACCAAGGCGACGAUCUUUAGCUGGUCUGAGAGGAUGAUCAGCCACACUGGGACUGAGACACGGCCCAGACUCCUACGGGAGGCAGCAGUGGGGAAUAUUGCGCAAUGGCGAAAGCCUGACGCAGCGACGCCGCGUGGGUGAUGAA